GACGAACGCUGGCGGCGUGCUUAACACAUGCAAGUCGUACGGUAAGGCCCUUUCGGGGGUACACGAGUGGCGAACGGGUGAGUAACACGUGAGUAACCUGCCCACAACUUUGGGAUAACGCUAGGAAACUGGUACUAAUACUGGCUAUGUGCUCCUGCUGCAUGGUGGGGGUUGGAAAGCUCCGGCGGUUGUGGAUGGACUCGCGGCCUAUCAGCUUGUUGGUGGGGUAGUGGCCUACCAAGGCGGCGACGGGUAGCCGGCCUGAGAGGGUGACCGGCCACAUUGGGACUGAGAUACGGCCCAGACUCCUACGGGAGGCAGCAGUGGGGAAUAUUGCACAAUGGGCGCAAGCCUGAUGCAGCAACGCCGCGUGCGGGAUGACGGCCUUCGGGUUGGAAACCGCUUUCAGCAGGGACGAAGCUUUUUGUGACGGUACCUGCAGAAGAAGCACCGGCUAACUACGUG
Molecule: ribosomal RNA, 465 nt
Filed under: uncultured bacterium
Lineage: Bacteria
Description: partial 16S ribosomal RNA
Rfam family: Bacterial small subunit ribosomal RNA
Source: RNAcentral